UAUUACGGCCAUACCACACUGACAACGCCCGAUCUCGUCUGAUCUCGGAAGCUACGCAGAGUUGGGCUGGGUCAGUACUUGAAUGGGUGACCGCCUGUGAAUACCCGGUGCUGUAAGCA
Molecule: ribosomal RNA, 119 nt
Filed under: Cottoperca gobio
Lineage: Eukaryota; Metazoa; Chordata; Actinopteri; Perciformes; Bovichtidae
Source: RNAcentral